Molecule: non-coding RNA, 113 nt
Organism: Phlebopus sp. FC_14
Lineage: Eukaryota; Fungi; Basidiomycota; Agaricomycetes; Boletales; Boletinellaceae
Source: the annotation of a GenBank genome assembly
GGCAAGAUGGCCGAGCGGUCUAUGGCGUGUGACUCAAGCUGAAUAAGCUUGCCUGACUAAGUCGGGUUUCUCAUCUCCGUGAGGAGGCGUGGGUUCGAAUCCCACUCUUGUCA